This 460-nucleotide ribosomal RNA is filed under the name uncultured bacterium. RNAcentral describes it as "partial 16S ribosomal RNA". It matches the Rfam family "Bacterial small subunit ribosomal RNA", at positions 338 to 795 of the family's 1533-position model. The record is from RNAcentral.
CCUACGGGAGGCAGCAGUGAGGAAUAUUCGUCAAUGGACGAGAGUCUGAACCAGCCAAGUAGCGUGAAGGAUGACUGCCCUAUGGGUUGUAAACUUCGUUUAUAAAGGAAUAAAACGAGGCACGUGUGCCUUUUUGCAUGUACUUUAUGAAUAAGGAUCGGCUAACUCCGUGCCAGCAGCCGCGGUAAUGCGGAGGAUCCGAGCGUUAUCCGGAUUUAUUGGGUUGAAAGGGAGCGUAGAUGGGUUGUUAAGUCAGUUGUGAAAGUUUGCGGGUCAACCGUAAGAUUGCAAUUGAUACUGGGCGUCUAGAGUACAGUUGAGGUAGGCGGAAUUCGUGGUGUAGCGGUGAAAUGCUUAGAUAUAACGAAGAACACCGAUUGCGAAGGCAGCUUACUAACCUGCCACUGACAUUGAUGCCCGAAAGUGUGGGUAUCAAAUAGGAUUAGAUACCCCAGUAGUC